GCCCGGGUGGUGAAACUGGUAGACACAGGGGACUUAAAAUCCCCCGGGAGAACCCCGUGCCGGUUCAAAUCCGGCCCCGGGCACCA
This 86-nucleotide transfer RNA is filed under the name Gammaproteobacteria bacterium. Its description in RNAcentral is "tRNA-Leu". It matches the Rfam family "tRNA". Rfam says of the family: Transfer RNA (tRNA) molecules are approximately 80 nucleotides in length. The record is from RNAcentral. Lineage: Bacteria; Pseudomonadati; Pseudomonadota; Gammaproteobacteria.